Molecule: non-coding RNA, 27 nt
Filed under: Bombyx mori (domestic silkworm)
Lineage: Eukaryota; Metazoa; Arthropoda; Insecta; Lepidoptera; Bombycidae
Source: RNAcentral
UGUAAAAACGUGCUCGGGUGUGACACC